RNAcentral lists this ribosomal RNA (434 nucleotides) under Acinetobacter baumannii. RNAcentral describes it as "bacterial SSU rRNA". It matches the Rfam family "Bacterial small subunit ribosomal RNA", at positions 158 to 586 of the family's 1533-position model. The record is from RNAcentral. Lineage: Bacteria; Pseudomonadati; Pseudomonadota; Gammaproteobacteria; Moraxellales; Moraxellaceae.
GGAUGCUAAUACCGCAUACGUCCUACUUUUGAAAGCAGGGGAUCUUCGGACCUUGCGCUAAUAGAUGAUCCUAAGUCGGAUUACCUAGUUGGUGGGGUAAAGGCCUACCAAGGCCACCAUCUGUAGCGGGUCUGAGAGGAUGAUCCGCCACACUGGGACUGACACACGGCCCAUACUCCUACGGGAGGCAUCAUUGGGGAAUAUUGGACAAUGGGGGGAACCCUGAUCCAGCCAUGCCGCGUGUGUGAAGAAGGCCUUAUGGUUGUAGAUUUCUUUUCGCAAAGAUGAGGCUUCUUUAAUUAAUACCUGCAGAUUGUGUACGUUACUCCCUUAACAGUCCCCGGCUAACUCUGUGCCACUAACUACGUUAAUACAGACGCUGCGAGCGGUAAUCGGAUUUCCUGGGCCGAAAUUGUGCGUAGUAAGCUUAUUAA